GCCAGGGGGUGGACGGCAAGUCGGUAAGGGCAUAUGGCUAUCAACCUGAAGGUUGUGGGUUCGAUUCCCGCCCUUUGCA
This is a non-coding RNA of Massospora cicadina, 79 nucleotides long. The record is from the annotation of a GenBank genome assembly. NCBI's taxonomy places the organism in Eukaryota, Fungi, Entomophthoromycota, Entomophthoromycetes, Entomophthorales, Entomophthoraceae.